This 328-nucleotide ribosomal RNA is filed under the name uncultured Neocallimastigales. RNAcentral's name for it is "partial large subunit ribosomal RNA". Lineage: Eukaryota; Fungi; Neocallimastigomycota; Neocallimastigomycetes; Neocallimastigales. The record is from RNAcentral.
GUUGUUUAGUUGAAAAUCAAUUCAAUAAUUUUUGAUUUUAAGUAGUAUUGACUUCAUCAGCUUGCUGCUUUCUUUUCGGAAAUUAUUGAAUGCACUUUUCAGUUAACAAGUCAACAUCAAUUUCUUUUGUUGUAAAAGGGUAAGAGGAAGGUGGCUUACGCUUCGGCGUAAGUGUUUAUAGCCUUUUACCUCUGCAAUCGGAGAGAUUGAGGACAGCAGCGUAGACUCUUCGGGGUUAGAUACACUUGUGCUAAGCUAUAGCCUUGUAUAGACAACUUGUUGACUAUGCUCAGUCAUGUAGCUUACUCGCUUGUGCUAUUUUACCUAC